RNAcentral lists this long non-coding RNA (525 nucleotides) under Pongo abelii (Sumatran orangutan). RNAcentral describes it as "lincRNA". The record is from RNAcentral. Lineage: Eukaryota; Metazoa; Chordata; Mammalia; Primates; Hominidae.
UGGGAGAGAAAAGCAUACAACAUAGACAGGGAGGUCAAGCUCCACCACGCAAAUGAGCUGCAGGCCACCGGGCUUCCUCUGCCACAUCUCCUUCUGAAAAGGACUUCACAUUCACCCUUGCAAUCCAUGCGGGGACACUGUUGGAUAGGAGGCGUGGUCCCAGAGUGGUCUCCCUGUCUGGGCCUCUGCGUAUGCCAAAUGUUUGCCUCACGCUGCACACUCAAGAGGUUCCAUGUAUACAGAUGGGAAUUCCAGAGCUACAGAAAAGGCAGCAAGCACCAUGAUUCAAGCUAAUCAGUGUGGAUUCACACCUUCCUCUCUCUCUCUCAGUGGCAGAACUACCAGCUAGAGUAAGAAGUGGUUGAUCCAGGACCUGAACAUUCUGGAAACUCUUGCCCACUUCUGGGAGAAAUGACCCAAUCCAUAGUACUAGGCACACCUUAACUUUCGUAGGACCCAGGCAAGUUGUCAUACCAUGUACCUAAAUAUUGAAAAAUGAUCCACUGGACUAAUAAACUGUUAAAU